UGGCGGACGGGUGAGUAAUGUCUGGGAAACUGCCUGAUGGAGGGGGAUAACCACUGGAAACGGUAGCUAAUACCGCAUAACGUCGCAAGACCAAAGAGGGGGACCUUCGGGCCUCUUGCCAUCGGAUGUGCCCAGAUGGGAUUAGCUAGUAGGUGGGGUAACGGCUCACCUAGGCGACGAUCCCUAGCUGGUCUGAGAGGAUGACCAGCCACACUGGAACUGAGACACGGUCCAGACUCCUACGGGAGGCAGCAUG
Molecule: ribosomal RNA, 256 nt
Filed under: uncultured bacterium
Lineage: Bacteria
Description: partial 16S ribosomal RNA
Rfam family: Bacterial small subunit ribosomal RNA
Source: RNAcentral